AGUAACGCGUGGGUAACCUGCCCUUAAGUCUGGGAUACCAUUUGGAAACAGAUGCUAAUACCGGAUAAAAGCUACUUUCGCAUGAAAGAAGUUUAAAAGGCGGCGUAAGCUGUCGCUAAAGGAUGGACCUGCGAUGCAUUAGCUAGUUGGUAAGGUAACGGCUUACCAAGGCGAUGAUGCAUAGCCGAGUUGAGAGACUGAUCGGCCACAUUGGGACUGAGACACAGCCCAAACUCCUACGGGAGGCAGCAGUC
Molecule: ribosomal RNA, 254 nt
Filed under: uncultured Lactobacillus sp.
Lineage: Bacteria; Bacillati; Bacillota; Bacilli; Lactobacillales; Lactobacillaceae
Description: partial 16S ribosomal RNA
Rfam family: Bacterial small subunit ribosomal RNA
Source: RNAcentral